This 2413-nucleotide long non-coding RNA is filed under the name Homo sapiens (human). RNAcentral's name for it is "non-protein coding lnc-CROCC-3:12". Lineage: Eukaryota; Metazoa; Chordata; Mammalia; Primates; Hominidae. The record is from RNAcentral.
AGAUAAGCCAGAGUCCCAGGGUCUUCUUCACGCCCCAUUACCGCCCCCAGGUUCCUCGACCAAGGUCUGGACGACAACUAUUGCCGGAAUCCUGACGGCUCCGAGCGGCCAUGGUGCUACACUACGGAUCCGCAGAUCGAGCGAGAAUUCUGUGACCUCCCCCGCUGCGGGUCCGAGGCACAGCCCCGCCAAGAGGCCACAAGUGUCAGCUGCUUCCGCGGGAAGGGUGAGGGCUACCGGGGCACAGCCAAUACCACCACCGCGGGCGUACCUUGCCAGCGUUGGGACGCGCAAAUCCCGCAUCAGCACCGAUUUACGCCAGAAAAAUACGCGUGCAAGUGAGGUGGGGGGGCGGGCGUUGGGACGUGCUGCUGCGGGUGAGACGGGAGGAGGGUAGUCACGGGCUUAGGGCUGGAGGCUGGCGGGCUAGGGCUGAGUGCAGCGCCUGCUUAGAGACCUUCGGGAGAACUUCUGCCGGAACCCCGACGGCUCAGAGGCGCCCUGGUGCUUCACACUGCGGCCCGGCAUGCGCGUGGGCUUUUGCUACCAGAUCCGGCGUUGUACAGACGACGUGCGGCCCCAGGGUGAGGCCCAAGCUUGGGGGCUACAGAGCCGGGGCUGGAAGCCUGGAACCGGAGGGCCGGGGCGGGGUCUCGGCCUGAUGGCUGCCCGCACCGGCCGCAGACUGCUACCACGGCGCGGGGGAGCAGUACCGCGGCACGGUCAGCAAGACCCGCAAGGGUGUCCAGUGCCAGCGCGGGUCCGCUGAGACGCCGCACAAGCCGCAGUGAAUCCCUGGUGCUCCCGGCCCCGCCAGGGCCCUAACCCUGGGGCGGCAUGCUUUGAUGUCUGGGACCAGAGCCUGGAAAUGGUUGAGACUACCCUGCCACGACUUCGCUCCCGCUCCCGCCUCGGUUCACGUUUACCUCCGAACCGCAUGCACAACUGGAGGAGAACUUCUGCCAGACCCAGAUGGGGAUAGCCAUGGGCCCUGGUGCUACACGAUGGACCCAAGGACCCCAUUCGACUACUGUGCCCUGCGACGCUGCGCUGAUGACCAGCCGCCAUCAAUCCUGGACCCCCCCAGGUUAGGAGUUGGGCCAGUUAUGGGUCAGGCCCUUUAGCCCACGACAUCCACACAGUCUGGGUUUCAUCCAGCCCACCCCAUCCUACAGACCAGGUGCAGUUUGAGAAGUGUGGCAAGAGGGUGGAUCGGCUGGAUCAGCGUUGUUCCAAGCUGCGCGUGGCUGGGGGCCAUCCGGGCAACUCACCCUGGACAGUCAGCUUGCGGAAUUGGUGAGGCACAACUGCCUGUCUCCCACAGAGAGGAGCUGAGGUUGUGUCCUCUGUGGUUAUGCCACUGGGGGCUGGGAAUCUAUCCCUGCCCCCAGAGGUCCUAGCCAGAAGAUGGCAGGUCUAGCAUCUGUCCCAGGAGUCUGUUCCCUGUCCUAAUUCCCCACUCCUCUAGGCAGGGCCAGCAUUUCUGCGGGGGGUCUCUAGUGAAGGAGCAGUGGAUACUGACUGCCCGGCAGUGCUUCUCCUCCUGGUGAGCCUCCCUUGUGUUUGGGGACCCAGUCUCAUCCCACCUUCCCCUUUCCCCAGGCAAGCUAACAAGUGAGCCUUGGGGCAACGGACUGAGAGUCACAAAUGACCUAGCAGAGCUUCUCUCCCAGCCAUAUGCCUCUCACGGGCUAUGAGGUAUGGUUGGGCACCCUGUUCCAGAACCCACAACAUGGAGAGCCAGGCCUACAGCGGGUCCCAGUAGCCAAGAUGCUGUGUGGGCCCUCAGGCUCUCAGCUUGUCCUGCUCAAGCUGGAGAGAUCUGUGACCCUGAACCAGCGUGUGGCCCUGAUCUGCCUGCCGCCUGAAUGAUAUGUGGUGCCUCCAGGGACCAAGUGUGAGAUUGCAGGCCGGGGUGAGACCAAAGGUACGGGUAAUGACACAGUCCUAAAUGUGGCCUUGCUGAAUGUCAUCUCCAACCAGGAGUGUAACAUCAAGCACCGAGGACAUGUGCGGGAGAGCGAGAUGUGCACUGAGGGACUGUUGGCCCCUGUGGGGGCCUGUGAGGGUGACUACGGGGGCCCACUUGCCUGCUUUACCCACAACUGCUGGGUCCUGAAAGGAAUUAGAAUCCCCAACCGAGUAUGCGCAAGGUCGCGCUGGCCAGCCGUCUUCACGCGUGUCUCUGUGUUUGUGGACUGGAUUCACAAGGUCAUGAGACUGGGUUAGGCCCAGCCUUGACGCCAUAUGCUUUGGGGAGGACAAAACUUGUAAGUACAGUCAAGGACAAGACUUGUACUCAAGGCUGAGAUUUAAUAAAAUUCAUAUUUUUACUACUUCACCAAGGACUUUCUUAAAUGAAAAUGGUUUUUCCCCCUACAAGUAAACAGUAAUAAAGAAGAGAAUUAUUCCU